CGAGUGGCGGACGGGUGAGCAAUGUCUGGGAAACUGCCCGAUGGAGGGGGAUAACUACUGGAAACGGUAGCUAAUACCGCAUAACGUCGCAAGACCAAAGAGGGGGACCUUCGGGCCCCUUGCCAUCGGAUGUGCCCAGAUGGGAUUAGCUAGUAGGUGGGGUAAAGGCCCACCUAGGCGACGAUCCCUAGCUGGUCUGAGAGGAUGACCAGCCACACUGGAACUGAGACACGGUCCAG
RNAcentral lists this ribosomal RNA (239 nucleotides) under uncultured bacterium. RNAcentral describes it as "partial 16S ribosomal RNA". It matches the Rfam family "Bacterial small subunit ribosomal RNA", at positions 92 to 334 of the family's 1533-position model. The record is from RNAcentral.